This is a long non-coding RNA of Oncorhynchus tshawytscha (Chinook salmon), 2300 nucleotides long. The record is from Ensembl. Lineage: Eukaryota; Metazoa; Chordata; Actinopteri; Salmoniformes; Salmonidae.
CACUGAGAUGCAGUGUCUUAGACCACUGCGCCACUGGGGAGAGGUAGAGACAGAGGUGGACAUAGAGGUGGAGGUGGAGAUAGAGGUGGAGGUAGAGAUAGAGGUGGAGGUAGAGAUAGAGAUCGAGGUGGCGGUAGAGGUAGAGAGAGGUGGAGAUAGAGAUAGAGGGAGGUAGAGAGAAGUGGCGAUGGAGAUAGAGAUAAAGGUGGAGGUUGGGGUGGAGGUAGAGAUGAAGGCAGAGGAGUAGGUGGAGAUAGAGGUGGAGGUGGGGGUAGAGAUGGAGGAGGAGGUAGAGAGAAGUGGCGAUGGAGAUAGAGAUAGAGGUGGAGGUUGGGGUGGAGGUAGAGAUGAAGGCGGAGGAGUAGGUGGAGAUAGAGGUGGAGGUGGGGGUAGAGAUGGAGGAGGAGGUAGAGAUGGAGGUAUUUGUAUUUAUUAUGGAUCAAAUCAAAUGUAUUUAUAAAGCCCUUCUUACAUCAGCUGAUAUUUCAAAGUACUGUACAGAAACCCAGCCUAAAACCCCAAACAGCAAGCAACGCAGGUGUAGAAGCACGAUGGCCAGGAAAAACUCCCUAGAAAGGACUGAACCUAGGAAGAAACAUAGAGAGUAACCAGGCUAUGAGGGGUGGCCAUUCCUCUUCUGGCUGUGCCGGGUGGCCAAGAUGUUCAAAUGUUCAUAGAUGACCAGCAGGGUCAAAUAAUAAUAAUCACAGUGGUUGUCGAGGGUGCAACAGCUCAGCACCUCAGGAGUAAAUGUCAGUUAGCAUUUCAUAGCCGAUCAUUCAGAGUAUCUCUGCCACUCCUGCUGUCUCUAGAGAGUUGAAAACAGCAGGUCUGGGACAGGUAGCACAUCCGGUGAAAAGGUCAGGGUUCCAUAGGCGCAGGCAGAACAGUUGAAAUUGGAGCAGCAGCACGGCCAGGUGGACUGGGGACAGCAAGGAGUCAUCAGGCCAGGUAGUCCUGAGGCAUGGUCCUAAGGCUCAGGUCCUCCGAGAGAGAGAAAGAAAGAGAGAAAGAGAAAAAAAGAGAAAAUUAAAAAGAGCAUACUUAAAUUCACACAGAACACCGGAUUAGACAGGAGAAAUACUCCAGAUAUAACAGACUGACCCUAGCCCCCCGACACAAACUACUGCAGCAUAAAUACUGGAGGCUGAGAAAGGAGGGGUCGGGAGACACUGUGGCCCCAUCUGACGAUACCCCCGGACAGGGACAAACAGGCAGGAUAUAACCCCACCCACUUUGCCAAAGCACAGCCCCACACCACUAGAGGGAUAUCUUCAACCACAACUUACCAUCCUCAGACAAGGCCGAGUAUAGCCCACAAAGAUCUUCACCAUGGCACAACCCAAGGGGGGGUGCCAACCCAGACAGGGAGAUCACGUCAGUGACUCAACCCACUCAAGUGACGCAACCCUCCUAGGGACGGCAUGGAAGAGCAUCAGUAAGCCAGUGACUCAGCCCCUGUAAUAGGGUUAGAGGCAGAGAAUCCCAGUGGAGAGAGGGGAACCGGCCAGGCAGAGACAGCAAGCACGGUUCGUUGCUCCAGUGCCUUUCCGUUCACACACUCCUGGGUCAGACUACCUACUGAAGAGAUGAGUCUUCAAUGAAGACUUAAAGGUUGAGACCGAGUCUGCGUCUCUCACAUGGGUCCUGGCAGAGUUGUGCAGACUCAGGGACAACUGAGCUUUGGAGGAAUCGGCAGAUUUAAAGAGGAGUCCGUAAUUUGCUUUCUAAUGAUCAUGAUCUUUCCUUCAAAGAAGUUUAUGAAUGUAUCACUGCUGAAGUGAAAGCCAUCCUCUCUUGGGGAAUGCUGCUUUUUAGUUAGCUUUGCGACAGUAUCAAAAAUACAUUUUGGAUUGUUCUUAUUUUCCUCAAUUAAGUUGGAAAAAUAGGAUGAUCGAGCAGCAGUGAGGGCUCUUCGAUACUGCACGGUACUGUCUUUCCAAGCUAGUUGGAAGACUUCCAGUUUGGUGUGGCGCCAUUUCCGCUACAAUUUUCUGGAAGCUUGCUUCAGAGCUCAGGUAUUUUCUGUAUACCAGGGAGCUAGUUUCUUAUGACAAAUGUUAUUUGUUGUUUGGGGUGCGACUGCAUCUAGGGUAUUGCGCAAGUUUAAAUUGAGUUCCUCAGUUAGGUGGUUAACUGAUUUUGGGGUAGGCAGAGGGAGUCUGGAAGGGCAUCUAGGAAUCUUUGGGUUGUCCGAGCAUUUAUAGCAUGACUUUUGAUGAUCCUUGGUUAAAUCAAAAGUCUCAGAGUACAAAAAUCAGUUAACCACCUAACUGAGGAACUCAAUUUUACCUUGCGCA